ACCAAAUCGGGUUGCACGAAGGAAGUUGAUGGCGAAGGAGAAGCUGAUGGCGAAGGGAGAAGCUGACGGCAAGGCUCGAAGCAAGAAGACGACAACGAAGAGCGCAGGGAAGGGAGAGAUCGAGACCAGGUGCGAGACAGAGACCUUGAGAAGCAAGAAGACGACGACCACCACCACCCGAGGUGAGAGACCGAGAGCGCGCGACGAGGUAAGGCCGUGAGAGACUGAGUGUGACGACCGACGAGGUGAGGGGAGCGACGAGUGAGUGACGAAGUGAAGGUGACGCCGUGAGCCACCGUGAGCCGCCGUGAGUGAUGGACUGUCGAGCUCGAGAGAGAAGAGACACAAGGCUGGCUGGGGGUUAGGGGGGUUCCAAUUCCAUUCAGAUUAGGG
Molecule: non-coding RNA, 393 nt
Organism: Arachis ipaensis
Lineage: Eukaryota; Viridiplantae; Streptophyta; Magnoliopsida; Fabales; Fabaceae
Source: RefSeq, a predicted model, not a curated record